RNAcentral lists this long non-coding RNA (306 nucleotides) under Ananas comosus (pineapple). Its description in RNAcentral is "long non-coding RNA (ACOM_LNC034573)". The record is from RNAcentral. Lineage: Eukaryota; Viridiplantae; Streptophyta; Magnoliopsida; Poales; Bromeliaceae.
AAAUGUUAGAUACGUAAAUGAGAAAAGGAGUGAGAGAAAAGAUAGAGAAAAGAUUGCAACAAUAAUGAAUUGGAAUAGUUUUUUUUUAGAGGAAGAAGAUGAUCAUUGGAAAUAUUUUGGAAGCAUAUUUCUACACGAUUUUUACAGUUCGUUUUUGGGAGGGACAUUUUUAUAAUGACAAAAUUGACAUUUUAUUUAUCUUCUAUUAAAAAUAAACAGUGAACUAACGAUAACAAAUAAGAGGGACGAAUAUGAACAUCGCUGAAUUUUUGAAAGGAUAAAUCUGAAAACUUUGAACUUUGUAGG